This 381-nucleotide ribosomal RNA is filed under the name uncultured organism. Its description in RNAcentral is "partial 16S ribosomal RNA". It matches the Rfam family "Bacterial small subunit ribosomal RNA", at positions 527 to 897 of the family's 1533-position model. The record is from RNAcentral.
GUAGGUGGCAAGCGUUGUCCGGAAUUAUUGGGCGUAAAGCGCGCGCAGGUGGUUCUUUAAGGUCUGAUGUGAAAGACCCCCCCGGGCUCAAACCCGGGGGAGGGUCAUUGGAAACUGGGGAACUUGAGUGCAGGAGAGGAAAGUGGAAUUCCACGUGUAGCGGUGAAAUGCGUAGAUAUGUGGAGGAACACCAGUGGCGAAGGCGACUUUCUGGCCUGUAACUGACACUGAGGCGCGAAAGCGUGGGGAGCAAACAGGAUUAGAUACCCUGGUAGUCCACGCCGUAAACGAUGAGUGCUAAGUGUUGGGGGGUUUCCGCCCCUCAGUGCUGCAGCUAACGCAUUAAGCACUCCGCCUGGGGAGUACGGUCGCAAAGACUGA